Non-coding RNA from Ascochyta clinopodiicola, 106 nucleotides. NCBI's taxonomy places the organism in Eukaryota, Fungi, Ascomycota, Dothideomycetes, Pleosporales, Didymellaceae. The record is from the annotation of a GenBank genome assembly.
GAAAAUUAGCGGAGUGGUUAACGCGUUGGCCUGCUACCUUUCUCAUCACCGAGAUCGGAGUCAGCCAAUUCCUUCGGGAGCGUGUGUUCGAAUCACACAGGUGUCG